GGCGCACGGGUGCGUAACGCGUAUGGAACUUGCCCAUCUCAGGGGGAUAGCCCGUGGAAACAUGGAUUAAUACCCCAUAAAGCAGGGAGCCCGCAUGGGCAUAUUGCUAAAGGAUUCGUCCGGAGAUGGAUAGCCAUGCGUGCCAUUAGCUAGGUGGGGGCGGGUAACGGGGGCACCAAGGCAUCGAUGGCUAGGGGGGUCUGAGAGGAUGAUCCCCCACACUGGCACUGAGACACGGGCCAAACUCCUACGGGAGGCAGCAGUAGGAAUUUUGGGGCAAUGGGCGGAAGCCUGACCCGCCCUGCCGCGUG
Molecule: ribosomal RNA, 311 nt
Filed under: uncultured bacterium
Lineage: Bacteria
Description: bacterial SSU rRNA
Rfam family: Bacterial small subunit ribosomal RNA
Source: RNAcentral